GGGUGUUUAGCUCAGUUGGUUUAGAGCGCUACCUUGACAGGGUAGAGGUCACCGGUUCGAAUCCAGUAACACCCACAA
Molecule: transfer RNA, 78 nt
Filed under: Alphaproteobacteria bacterium
Lineage: Bacteria; Pseudomonadati; Pseudomonadota; Alphaproteobacteria
Also listed under: 1 other name
Description: tRNA-Val
Rfam family: tRNA
About the family: Transfer RNA (tRNA) molecules are approximately 80 nucleotides in length. Their secondary structure includes four short double-helical elements and three loops (D, anti-codon, and T loops).
Source: RNAcentral